ACUGUAUAAUGUUCUAACGAAUCGGCUUAUAAUAAAAGUGCCAGUUUACUGGCUAUGACGAUAAACGACAUGUGAAAUAAACGAUGCGGACCCGGGGGCGGUACCCGGCGCCUCCACCAAACUAAGAUUACUAUUGUUUCAAUGGGGGUGAAAUAGGAUCGACGCGCGCGUAAAGACAGGUUUUUCGUUCGGCAUGGUACCACCGUUAUCGGGCUAAUUUACAAUUGCCAAUGAUAAUGACUUGGCUCUCGCUGCCUAAUAUAUAGGCAAGCGCGGUUCGGGGGGCACCGGGCAACAGAAGCCCUCCACU
Molecule: transfer-messenger RNA, 310 nt
Filed under: Rhodospirillaceae bacterium
Lineage: Bacteria; Pseudomonadati; Pseudomonadota; Alphaproteobacteria; Rhodospirillales; Rhodospirillaceae
Rfam family: Alphaproteobacteria transfer-messenger RNA
About the family: Bacterial tmRNA, also known as 10Sa RNA or SsrA, is named for its dual tRNA and mRNA-like properties. Its role is to liberate the mRNA from a stalled ribosome. To accomplish this part of the tmRNA is used as a reading frame that ends in a translation stop signal.
Source: RNAcentral